RNAcentral lists this transfer RNA (64 nucleotides) under Euwallacea similis. RNAcentral's name for it is "tRNA-Ala". Lineage: Eukaryota; Metazoa; Arthropoda; Insecta; Coleoptera; Curculionidae. The record is from RNAcentral.
AGGAUAAUAGUUUAAACAAAACAUUUAACUUGCACUUAAAAAAUAUAUAAUCUAUAUUUAUCUU